GACGAACGCUGGCGGCGUGCUUAACACAUGCAAGUCGAACGGAAAGGCCCUGCUUUUGUUGGGUGCUCGAGUGGCGAACGGGUGAGUAACACGUGAGUAACCUGCCCUUGACUUUGGGAUAACUUCAGGAAACUGGGGCUAAUACCGGAUAGGAGCUCCUGCUGCAUGGUGGGGGUUGGAAAGUUUCGGCGGUUGGGGAUGGACUCGCGGCUUAUCAGCUUGUUGGUGGGGUAGUGGCUUACCAAGGCUUUGACGGGUAGCCGGCCUGAGAGGGUGACCGGCCACAUUGGGACUGAGAUACGGCCCAGAAUCCUACGGGAGGCAGCAGUGGGGAAUAUUGCACAAUGGGCGGAAGCCUGAUGCAGCAACGCCGCGUGCGGGAUGACGGCCUUCGGGUUGUAAACCGCUUUCGACUGUGACGAAGCGUGAGUGACGGUAAUGGGUAAAGAAGCACCGGCUAACUACGUG
Molecule: ribosomal RNA, 468 nt
Filed under: uncultured bacterium
Lineage: Bacteria
Description: partial 16S ribosomal RNA
Rfam family: Bacterial small subunit ribosomal RNA
Source: RNAcentral